AUACAAGUUGCAGAAGCACUGGAAGCUUGGAUAUGGUAUUUGGCUACUGUUUGAUCAUUACCGCACUCCAUUGGAUCAGAUAUGCAGAAGGUGAUAGAAGAUGACU
Hibiscus syriacus is the source of this 106-nucleotide long non-coding RNA. RefSeq lists it as uncharacterized. The transcript is spliced from 3 exons. The record is from RefSeq and is a predicted model, not a curated record. NCBI's taxonomy places the organism in Eukaryota, Viridiplantae, Streptophyta, Magnoliopsida, Malvales, Malvaceae.